CCCUUAGAUGUUCUGGGCCGUACGCGCGCUACACUGUUCGACGCAGCGAGUCUUAACCUUGACCGAAAGGUUUGGGUAAUCUUCAGCAAAGUCGAACGUGAUGGGGAUCGAUCAUUGCAAUUAUUGAUCGUGAACGAGGAAUUCCUAGUAAGUGCAAGUCAUCAGCUUGCGCUGAUUACGUCCCUGCCCUUUGUACACACCGCCCGUCGCUACUACCGAUUGAAUGGUUUAGUGAGAUCUCUGGAUUGACGCUGGCUAGGGGGCGACCCUUGGCCAGACUGUUGAGAAACUGCUCAAACUUGAUCAUUUAGAGGAAGUAAAAGUCGUAACA
This 331-nucleotide ribosomal RNA is filed under the name uncultured eukaryote. Its description in RNAcentral is "partial 18S ribosomal RNA". It matches the Rfam family "Eukaryotic small subunit ribosomal RNA", at positions 1470 to 1796 of the family's 1831-position model. The record is from RNAcentral.